GGGAAAUGAGGACAGGGCUGUGGAGAUGAGCCCUCCCAAGUCCUCCUCGGGUCAAUAGGCUCA
Regulatory RNA element from Camelus ferus (Wild Bactrian camel), 63 nucleotides. It matches the Rfam family "Ma3 gene ribosomal frameshift signal". NCBI's taxonomy places the organism in Eukaryota, Metazoa, Chordata, Mammalia, Artiodactyla, Camelidae. The record is from Rfam.